UACGUAGGGGGCUAGCGUUAUCCGGAAUUGCUGGGCAUAAAGGGUGCGUAGGUGGUUUCUUAAGUCAGAGGUGAAAGGCUACGGCUCAACCGUAGUAAGCCUUUGAAACUGGGAAACUUGAGUGCAGGAGAGGAGAGUGGAAUUCCUAGUGUAGCGGUGAAAUGCGUAGAUAUUAGGAGGAACACCAGUUGCGAAGGCGGCUCUCUGGACUGUAACUGACACUGAGGCACGAAAGCGUGGGGAGCAAACAGG
RNAcentral lists this ribosomal RNA (252 nucleotides) under uncultured bacterium. RNAcentral describes it as "partial 16S ribosomal RNA". It matches the Rfam family "Bacterial small subunit ribosomal RNA", at positions 524 to 776 of the family's 1533-position model. The record is from RNAcentral.